Molecule: long non-coding RNA, 267 nt
Filed under: Manihot esculenta (cassava)
Lineage: Eukaryota; Viridiplantae; Streptophyta; Magnoliopsida; Malpighiales; Euphorbiaceae
Description: long non-coding RNA (MESC_LNC010321)
Source: RNAcentral
UGCACUAGUUUCACGAAUAUGGCGCAUUGCAUUAUUUGAUGUUGAUUCAGGAGGUUUGGACCAAGGCGACUUCAAUAGCCCAUUUCUGUCAUUGAGUCUUGGGUAAGUCCUUUGAGAGCCGGACAAGUACAUAUAGGAAAGUCACUGUGAGCUCUCUGUGGACUAGGUACCCCGUCAUGUAUGUGAAAGUCCUGUGUGAGCUCCUUUGGGGGAGCCGGGCACCGACAGAGGGAAUUUUGAGGUCAUGUCCGAUCCUUGAGAGUAAAG